CUUAGUUUCGUAGGUGACCUGGCGGAAGGUAUUACACUCAGUAGUUUACUACUGGUUAAGGAGGCUAUUAGUCUGUAUAGCUUAAUCGCUGAUGAGCAGCUUGCCUCUUUUCUCCACCCUUGUCUUUUGCGUACCCAUGUUUCCUCGGCAGGCUUGCUUGCCGAUUGGACAAUUCUAUAACCUUUUUAAUUUUUAAUCAGCGUCUGAAAAACUUAAUAAUUACAACUUUCAACAACGGAUCUCUUGGUUCUGGCAUCGAUGAAGAACGCAGCGAAAUGCGAUAAGUAGUGUGAAUUGCAGAAUUCAGUGAAUCAUCGAAUCUUUGAACGCACAUUGCGCCCCUUGGUAUUCCAUGGGGCAUGCCUGUUCGAGCGUCAUUUGUACCUUCAAGCUUUGCUUGGUGUUGGGUGUUUGUCCUCUCCCUAGUGUUUGGACUCGCCUUAAAACAAUUGGCAGCCAGUGUUUUGGUAUUGAAGCGCAGCACAAGUCGCGAUUUAAUCUAACAACACUUGCGUCCACAAGUCUUUUUUAACUUUUGACCUCGGAUCAGGUAGGGAUACCCGCUGAACUUAAGCAUUAA
This 580-nucleotide ribosomal RNA is filed under the name Parastagonospora avenae. RNAcentral's name for it is "eukaryotic LSU rRNA". The stretch from base 224 to 377 matches the Rfam family "5.8S ribosomal RNA". Lineage: Eukaryota; Fungi; Ascomycota; Dothideomycetes; Pleosporales; Phaeosphaeriaceae. The record is from RNAcentral.